UUCAAUAUUGCUGAAACGCGUACCCUUUCCUUCUCAUUCUCUCGUACGCGAAAUCUUUCUCACUCAAAACCCUAAAACGAUUUCCCUUCCUCUUUCUCACUCAAAAAUCCUUCAAAUCCGCUGCACGUCAUAAAUCUUCUAUGCUGCACAUUGUGUAACAUCAGUUUGUCAUCAAGUUUGAACUCUUCUCUCACAAACCCCAACCGAGCAGCAGCCGUCGCCGUUCUUUCCUUGAUAUCUCGUCGUUGGUUGUGUCUGUUGAACUCAAGAACGCAGAUUCUGUUGAUUCUUCGUCUUCACCCUCUCUGAACCAUAAGGAAUCAAGUAUGAAAGAAACAACUAUUCAUCUUCCUCUAAAAAGGGCGUGAAUCCCCAUCUCACAACCAAAGGGGCAAACUCUAAUUUCACAUGAUUUGGUCAUGCAUGUGUUAAAUUAAUACAUCACUGCAUCUUCUGAGUUGAUCAAGGAUUAAGGUGAGAAUAAUUAGACUUUCUCUUUCCCUCUGAUUUCCCCAUUUCUUUUGUUUAGAUGUUUCAUAAAAACUCACCAAUUUCCAUUUUGGUAAUUGCAUGAGAAAUCUAUGGUUUGAAAGGGGUUUAAGGACCAUAAGAACAGUGGGUAAUUGGAAGAUGCAAAAGCUUCAAGUAGAGGGAGGCAGUAGCAUCAUGGGAGAUUUGGAGAACUAGAUUGGUGAAAUAGGAAUAGGGAAUUGGAAGAAGUAUGUGAAACCCGUAUUCUGGACAGGGUCUUACUAAAACGAAAAUUCCCUAUACGGAUUUGAAGUACCUUGUAAAUUCUGCAUUUUGGCGAACUCCGAAGAUGUCGAUAGUGCGGUUCAACUUCAAUUUCAGGAUAAGUUCCUCCAUUUCCCUCUGAGACUGCUUUAGCUAUUGUUGAAGAAGAGCUUGGAGCUUCUGUAGGUGAUAUCUUUGAUCAGUUUGACUACGAACCAAUAGCUGCUGCAAGUCUUGCAGCGGUAGUACAAAGAUGGGACCUCGUAAGAAUUCAAUGACUUAUGCAGAGAAAGGAGUGCUUCAUUUUGGAUUUGUAUGUUUUGAUUGAGUAUGAAGAAUUCGGUAUUUCAAACUUCUUAUAUGAGCAACAACAGUCUUUGAGGUGAUUGCUGCAUCUGGAGCUGUAAAGCAUGAAGCUUUUGUUGAGGAAGUGAAAAAAUUGUUUACUAAGUUGUCAACUAAUCCCUCCACAGCAUCUCAGUUGGUCGAAAAAGAACCAGCAGUUUUCACUGGUUCCGAGGUUCGAAUGCUCGAUGAUGAUAUUCCCCUUGCACAAUUUGCAGUAGCUUUUGAAGGUGCUUCUUGGAAGGAUCCAGAUUCAAUUCCUCUGAUGAUUAUGCAAGCAAUGCUGGGUUCAUGGCACAAAAUGAACCUGACAAUGGAUUUUUGCUUAUGCUUUAUAUUAAGAAGCUUUGGCUGUAUUCAUUGUCCAAAAUGGAGAGAGCAUUGAUGAGGUUACUUGGAAAUUCAACAUCACCAGCUUCAUGUCGUUUUCAUUAGUGGUAAAUUAGUUGGUUCUAUGGAUAGAGUUUUGACUUUUCAUAUUAAUGGGUUGUAUGCUUGGAAUUAGACUAGAUAAUUAGUGAUAAUGUUAAGCAUUGACUUUUAAUGUGUUGAAUGUAACUUGUUAGGAAUUGACAAUGACUUGUGGAAAAUAAUAUUCGGAAUUAUGUCAA
Molecule: long non-coding RNA, 1691 nt
Organism: Trifolium pratense (red clover)
Lineage: Eukaryota; Viridiplantae; Streptophyta; Magnoliopsida; Fabales; Fabaceae
Exons: 8
Source: RefSeq, a predicted model, not a curated record